This 496-nucleotide ribosomal RNA is filed under the name uncultured bacterium. RNAcentral's name for it is "partial 16S ribosomal RNA". It matches the Rfam family "Bacterial small subunit ribosomal RNA", at positions 28 to 506 of the family's 1533-position model. The record is from RNAcentral.
GACGAACGCUGGCGGCGUGCCUAAUACAUGCAAGUAGAACGCUGAAGAGAGGAGCUUGCUCUUCUUGGCUGAGUUGCGAACGGGUGAGUAACGCGUAGGUAACCUGCCUGGUAGCGGGGGAUAACUAUUGGAAACGAUAGCUAAUACCGCAUAAAAUUGAUUAUUGCAUGAUAAUUAAUUGAAAGAUGCAACUGCAUCACUACCAGAUGGACCUGCGUUGUAUUAGCUAGUUGGUGAGGUAAAGGCUCACCAAGGCGACGAUACAUAGCCGACCUGAGAGGGUGAUCGGCCCCACUGGGACUGAGCCACGGCCCAGACUCCUACGGGAGGCAGCAGUAGGGAAUCUUCGGCAAUGGGGGGAACCCUGACCGAGCAACGCCGCGUGAGUGAAGAAGGUUUUCGGAUCGUAAAGCUCUGUUGUAAGAGAAGAACGGGUGUGAGAGUGGAAAGUUCACACUGUGACGGUAUCUUACCAGAAAGGGACGGCUACCUACGU